GCAAGAUUCAGAGAUAUAUGUCUCAAAUGUUUGGUUAGAUUUGGAUUAUAUAGCAUCCUAGCCAAGGAACUACAUAUAUUUAGAGAAAUGCAAGACAAAGGAAACAGACCUUGAACCUCUGGGGAGGGUAAAUCAUGGGCAGGCAAAUAUGUGUGAAACCAAGGGUCAAUGAGUCCACUGAGUAAAGUUUGUGAUAGGGACUAUUCUGGUGCCAGUUUCAAGCUGACAAGAGUCUAAGUUUGUCUCUGUGACUGAUGUUUGUCCUUCUGGAAGAGAUGAGAGGAUAGGCAUAUUUGAACAUUUGUCCUGCUGUUGGGCAAAUAAGAUGAGGGCAGAGAGCUUUUUGCUGAUAUCUACUCCUUCACAAUUGUCUUUGGCUCAAGUAAUCAUACUCAAUUGACAUACUGUGGAGGUACCUUCACAUUCACAUAUUGUGCUACCCUUCACAUUCAAGGUUGUAAAAUUUGAAAAUUAGAGGAAACCUUUUCUCUUUCCAUACCACUCCUAAGGA
This 511-nucleotide long non-coding RNA is filed under the name Marmota monax (woodchuck). Lineage: Eukaryota; Metazoa; Chordata; Mammalia; Rodentia; Sciuridae. The record is from RNAcentral.